RNAcentral lists this ribosomal RNA (377 nucleotides) under uncultured Lactobacillus sp. Its description in RNAcentral is "bacterial SSU rRNA". It matches the Rfam family "Bacterial small subunit ribosomal RNA", at positions 167 to 524 of the family's 1533-position model. The record is from RNAcentral. Lineage: Bacteria; Bacillati; Bacillota; Bacilli; Lactobacillales; Lactobacillaceae.
UACCGGAUUAACAACACUAGACGCAUGUCUAGAGUUUAAAGAUGGUUCUGCUAUCACUCUUGGGAUGGACCUGCGGUGCAUUAGCUAGUUGGUAAGGGUAACGGGCUUUACCCAAGGCAAUGAUGCAUAGCCCGAGUUGAGAGACUGAUCGGGCCACAUUGGGACUGAGACACGGCCCAAAACUCCUACGGGAGGCAGCAGUAGGGAAUCUUCCACAAUGGACGCAAGUCUGAUGGAGCAACGCCGCGUGAGUGAAGAAGGGUUUCGGCCCGUAAAGCUCUGUUGGUAGUGAAGAAAGAUAGAGGUAGUAACUGGCCUUUAUUUGACGGUAAUUACUUAGAAGUCACGGCUAACUACGUGCCAGCAGCCGCGGUAAU